This is a small nucleolar RNA of Alligator mississippiensis (American alligator), 132 nucleotides long. It matches the Rfam family "Small nucleolar RNA SNORA15". From Rfam's summary of the family: ACA15 is a member of the H/ACA class of snoRNA that guide the sites of modification of uridines to pseudouridines. Lineage: Eukaryota; Metazoa; Chordata; Crocodylia; Alligatoridae. The record is from Rfam.
GCAUGGAAGAAUUCUGCGUUGGCUUUUUCAGUAGCUAAUGCAGUCAGACACUAUGCUAGAGUAUAUUUCCUUAUUACAGCCCUAACAGCCUGCUUUACACAGAGUAGGCAUGUCCAUGGAAGUGGGAUACAU